GGACAGUCUAGUGCUGAGAGUCUGUGGCGGUCACACUGAAGUCAGAGAAUGUCCCCAUCAGACACUGCAUUGACUCUGGGCGCACGCACACACAGGCGCGCGCGCGUGUGCGCGCACACACGCGCGCGCACACACACACACACACACACACAGACCUAGAGUCAACAACAUUCGUGGCGCAUCCACCAGGCAGGCAGGCAGGCAGGCAGGCAGGCAGGCACUAGUUAAGGCAGACACACACCCUCAGCUUGGGCUUCCUCCCUCACACCCAGCCCAAGGCUCCUCCCACUCCCAGCUAGGGAUCCUUCUGCCCUCCUCCCCAGCCUCUCCCCUCCAGACCCAAGCCUGAAGGUGGGGACAGUCUCAGCAGCCAGGGACCCAGGAGCCCUAACUCCCACUCCCAGAGUCAGUGUGCGGUUUGGGAGAAAAUGUGUCGGAUAUUUUGGGGCGGUCACGUGGGCGGGCGGGCUCCGAGAGGCCCCGGGACCGUCCCAGCCUAGAGUCCGUGCCCCCCGCCCCAGAGCCCCCCAUCACCGGGAGCCCCUGCCACUGCGACGCUCCAUCCUCGCGACCGCCCGACGCCGGGACCUCGGGGCUCGGCGGCCUCCCUUCCCCCUCCCUCCCCCUCCAGGUGAGUCAGGCGGGGAAGCAGGCUCGGCGCCACGGACGGACGCCCGGGUCCCCCGGCGAGCUUGGGCCGGGGGCGGGGGCGCCGGGGAGCCACGCCGGCUCCGUCCCUCCCCGGGCUGGUCCGGCUGUCCGCACGGGUGGAGGGGGGCUGACUUGGGGGUCAGCCCUGACGUGGGAAGGGAAUGGGGACGAUUUUAGACAGGCUGGGCUGGGCUGGGCUUUAUCCACCCUUUCGUCGCGAGGAGUAGUGAGCGAGCUUUACGGGGGGGGCGGGGGGAGUCUUGGGCCAGGGGGUUCCUAUCCUACUCUUGUGCCUGGAGUGGGAGGGGAGACAGGGUCCGCUCCUGUGGGGAAAGUCCACCGACGGCCUGCCCUCUGGCUUCCCCUGGGGAAUCUAAGGAGAGGACUUUUGGUCCGCGCUGGUCCAAGUUCCUCCUUCCCUAGCGGAAUGGCUCAGCCUGGACAUCAGAAGGGCGAAGGAAAGGUCCAGAGGCAAGUGAUCCUGGCCCACUGGGUCCAGAAGCUUGGAGAGACAAGUGGAUAAGAUAGGGGUCAGUGAAGUUCCCCUCUCUCAUAUCCCCAAUUUUGGGUGUGAGUCUUGGCAGUAUUCUCUGAGAGGAGCCCAAAUUGAACAAAGGAAGGGCAGGGAUUCAGGGGCAGGGACCCCAGAGUCCCCGUUCUGGGGCCCUACUGACGCUGCUGCCUCACGGUCUCCGGCACUUAGAGCCCAGGUCCCUCAACUUGACCCAGCGGGUAGGAGAGAAUCUCUGCAGGUGGCCAGAGGGUAAGAGUGUGCAAAGGUGGGGGCAGGGCAGGGGCGCCUGAGGAGGGGUCUGGAGGGCAAGAAGCUGAGAUGGCUGUGCCCCUUUGGGGCCCAUGUUCAGAGCAGCUGCCAUCCCAGUCUUCACGUUUGAGGCUCCUGCCCUGACCGUCCCUCCUCAGAUGUCGAUCGGGGUUGAGGACCGCAGGCAGUGUCCCUUAUCCUUGAGGCCAGAAAAGAGAGGACAGGGGGCAGGAGGCGGCAUGUGCGGGGUGCCUGGGGCUUGGGUAUCCCAAACAGAGAAACACAUACUCACACCCACACACAUGCACACACACGCUGUGGCUUAGAGCCUAGUAAGCAGCACAGGGCACACCCCCCCACCCCGGCACACCCCCACCCCUGGCUCAGAAAGCCACCUAACUGGCACCUCCAGUUCCCCCCUCUGCCCCACCCUCCCCGUGCCCUCCGAUGCCCACACACAUUCCACUGGCAUUGCCUGCCUGCCUCCUGGGCACUGCCCCUCCCUGGGACCAGUGAGGUAGAGGGAGGGGCACCUGGGGAUGGGAGGUGGAGACUCCAGGGUCUGGACUCCCCCAAGGGUGGCACCAGGCCAGGGAGACCUGGCCCACCGCUGCCUCCUGGGGAGCAGGCUGGGGGCCCAGGCUAGAGCAGAGGAUGCCUGGGUUCUCCGCCCAGGCUGGGGAUGGGGUCAUGGAAAAAGGUGGUCGUGUUUAUACAGAGGGGAGGGGGGCAGCGGGUGGAGAGCAGCCGACAAGAGCAG
RNAcentral lists this long non-coding RNA (2174 nucleotides) under Sus scrofa (pig). RNAcentral describes it as "lncRNA (ENSSSCG00070030215.1)". The record is from RNAcentral. Lineage: Eukaryota; Metazoa; Chordata; Mammalia; Artiodactyla; Suidae.